AUGUACUACUUUGAUAAUCCUGAGAAAACCCCAUUCAAUUAUGUUGUGGGAGACACGUUGGAUCAACGUGAAUACUUUAGGGAUUAUCGCUUUACUCAAAAAGGGAAACUAUUAUGGGAUCAAAUUUAUAUGUUGCAUUGGUAUGCUCGGCAACUAUGCUUGAGAUAUGAUUAUACUUGUUGCUGUAGGAUGAAGGCUCCACACCUUCCCUUUUCAUGCAAAUUUAAUGAUGAUAAAACCUUGGCUUCUUAUGCUAAUGGUAGCUAUGAUUACUAUGAUGUGGAACAAAUAGAAGAAUUCGUUGCUUUUAUGGGUGCUUAUGAGAUUGAAUCUUUGUUUAAAGAUUGUGAAAAUCUUGAUGAUGCUGUUUACAGACCUGAAAAUUUUGCUAUACUUAAAAUAUUUUUAUGA
RNAcentral lists this ribosomal RNA (411 nucleotides) under Triticum aestivum (bread wheat). RNAcentral's name for it is "partial small subunit ribosomal RNA". Lineage: Eukaryota; Viridiplantae; Streptophyta; Magnoliopsida; Poales; Poaceae. The record is from RNAcentral.